This is a long non-coding RNA of Homo sapiens (human), 871 nucleotides long. Ensembl annotates it as long intergenic non-protein coding RNA 1997. NCBI's taxonomy places the organism in Eukaryota, Metazoa, Chordata, Mammalia, Primates, Hominidae. The record is from Ensembl.
UGACUAUAUCAGCACUCAUCCACAGAUGUCUUGAUACUUUUCCUGCAAGAGAAACACCUUGAGAUAACUCUACAAAACCAGGAUCAAAUUAUCACAAAAAAACUUCACAGAGUGAAGAAUGAAGGAAAAGAAAAAUGAUCACAAAUGGGUUUUUGUUUUAAUCAGGAAAUACGGUUAUACACAUCUACAAGCAAGGACUGGAUGUUCUAUGUCAUGGAUCUCCCAAAACCCCUGGCACCAUUGGUUGACGGUCCAAAGUAUUUGACUUGCUAAAGAAUCUUUCCCUCCUAGAAGCUUUGGUAUCAGGAUGAUGCUGGCCUCAUAAAAUGAGUUAGGGAGGAUUCCCUCUUUUUCUAUUGAUUGGAAUAGUUUCAGAAGGAAUGGUACCAGUUCCUCCUUGUACCUCCCGUAGAAUUCGGCUAUGAAUCCAUCUGGUCCUGGACUUUUUUUGGUUGUAUACAUAGGGUUUCACCACCAUGUUAGCCAUGCUCGUCUCCAACUCCUGACCUCAGGUGACCCUCCUGCCUCGGCCUCCCAAAGUGCUGGGAUUACAGACGUGAGCUACCGUGUCUGGCCUUCCUCAAAAAUUUAAUAUCAGAGUCUUCCAUUGAUUUCUAGGAUAACUGGCUAGCCAUAUGCAGAAGAUUGAAACAGGACCCCUUCUUUUCACCAUAAACAAAAAUCAACUCAAGAUGGAUUAAAGACUUAAAUGUUAGGCUCCAAACUAUAAAAAUCCUAGAAGAAAACCUAGGAAGUACCAUUCUGGACAUGGGCCUUGGAAGAGAUUUCAUGAUAAAGUCACCAAAAGCAAUUGCAACAAAAACAAAAAUUGACAAAUAGGACCAAACUAAUCUAAAGAUCUUCUGCACUG